CCUACGGGAGGCAGCAGUGAGGAAUAUUGGUCAAUGGGCGGAAGCCUGAACCAGCCAAGUAGCGUGAGGGAUGAAGGCCCUACGGGUCGUAAACCGCUUUUGCACGGGGAUAACACCCUCCACGUGUGGAGGUAUGCAGGUACCGUACGAAUAAGGACCGGCUAAUUCCGUGCCAGCAGCCGCGGUAAUACGGAGGGCCCGAGCGUUAUCCGGUUUCAUUGGGUUUAAGGGGAGCGUAGGCGGGCGUUAAAGUCAGCGGUAAAAUCGUGGGGCUCAACCGCGCCCCGCAGUUGAAACUGGACGCCUUGAGUUCACAAGAGGCAGGCGGAAUUCGUGGUGUAGCGGUGAAAUGCAUAGAUAUCACGAAGAACCCCGAUGGCGAAGGCAGCCUGCCGGGGUGCGACUGACGCUGAGGCUCGAAAGUGUGGGUAGCAAACAGGAUUAGAUACCCUUGUAGUC
This 459-nucleotide ribosomal RNA is filed under the name uncultured bacterium. RNAcentral describes it as "partial 16S ribosomal RNA". It matches the Rfam family "Bacterial small subunit ribosomal RNA", at positions 338 to 795 of the family's 1533-position model. The record is from RNAcentral.